UAAGUAGAAGCCAAAUUUUGAGGCGCUUGUUUGUUAAUCAAGGUUGAUUGUGGUCUUUCCACCUACUUA
This 69-nucleotide transfer RNA is filed under the name Nacella magellanica. RNAcentral describes it as "tRNA-Asn". Lineage: Eukaryota; Metazoa; Mollusca; Gastropoda; Nacellidae. RNAcentral also lists the same sequence under 1 other name. The record is from RNAcentral.